UAGGGAAUCUUCGGCAAUGGGGGCAACCCUGACCGAGCAACGCCGCGUGAGUGAAGAAGGUUUUCGGAUCGUAACGCUCUGUUGUAAGAGAAGAACGUGUGUGAGAGUGGAAAGUUCACACAGUGACGGUAACUUACCAGAAAGGGACGGCUAACUACGUGCCAGCAGCCGCGGUAAUACGUAGGUCCCGAGCGUUGUCCGGAUUUAUUGGGCGUAAAGCGAGCGCAGGCGGUUUAAUAAGUCUGAAGUUAAAGGCAGUGGCUUAACCAUUGUUCGCUUUGGAAACUGUUAAACUUGAGUGCAGAAGGGGAGAGUGGAAUUCCAUGUGUAGCGGUGAAAUGCGUAGAUAUAUGGAGGAACACCGGUGGCGAGAGCGGCUCUCUGGUCUGUAACUGACGCUGAGGCUCGAAAGCGUGGGGAGCAAGCAGG
RNAcentral lists this ribosomal RNA (429 nucleotides) under bacterium. RNAcentral's name for it is "partial 16S ribosomal RNA". It matches the Rfam family "Bacterial small subunit ribosomal RNA", at positions 355 to 776 of the family's 1533-position model. The record is from RNAcentral.